GAGUUUGAUCAUGGCUCAGAUUGAACGCUGGCGGCAUGCCUAACACAUGCAAGUCGAACGGCAGCACUGGGAGCUUGCUCCCUGGUGGCGAGUGGCGGACGGGUGAGUAACGCGUAGGAAUCUGCCUCAUAGCGGGGGACAACUCGGGGAAACUCGAGCUAAUACCGCAUACUACUCGAGAGAGGAAAGCAGGGGGACCUUCGGGCCUUGCACUAUGAGAUGAGCCUGCGUUGGA
RNAcentral lists this ribosomal RNA (235 nucleotides) under uncultured microorganism. RNAcentral describes it as "partial 16S ribosomal RNA". It matches the Rfam family "Bacterial small subunit ribosomal RNA", at positions 9 to 240 of the family's 1533-position model. The record is from RNAcentral.